GAUGAACGCUGGCGGCGUGCCUAAUACAUGCAAGUCGAGCGAACGGACGAGAAGCUGGCUUCUCUGAUGUUAGCGGCGGGCGGGUGAGUAACACGUGGAUAACCUACCUAUAAGACUGGGAUAACUUCGGGAAACCGGAGCUAAUACCGGAUAAUAUUUUGAACCGCAUGGUUCAAAAGUGAAAGACGGUCUUGCUGUCACUUAUAGAUGGAUCCGCGCUGCAUUAGCUAGUUGGUAAGGUAACGGCUUACCAAGGCAACGAUGCAUAGCCGACCUGAGAGGGUGAUCGGCCACACUGGAACUGAGACACGGUCCAGACUCCUACGGGAGGCAGCAGUAGGGAAUCUUCCGCAAUGGGCGAAAGCCUGACGGAGCAACGCCGCGUGAGUGAUGAAGGUCUUCGGAUCGUAAAACUCUGUUAUUAGGGAAGAACAUAUGUGUAAGUAACUGUGCACAUCUUGACGGUACCUAAUCAGAAAGCCACGGCUAACUACGUG
Molecule: ribosomal RNA, 497 nt
Filed under: uncultured bacterium
Lineage: Bacteria
Description: partial 16S ribosomal RNA
Rfam family: Bacterial small subunit ribosomal RNA
Source: RNAcentral